Molecule: ribosomal RNA, 253 nt
Filed under: uncultured bacterium
Lineage: Bacteria
Description: partial 16S ribosomal RNA
Rfam family: Bacterial small subunit ribosomal RNA
Source: RNAcentral
UACGGAGGGUGCGAGCGUUGUCCGGAAUCACUGGGCGUAAAGGGCGCGUAGGUGGCGCGGGCAGUCAACGGUGAAAGUUCGGGGCUCAACCCUGAAUCGGCCGUCGAUACUCCCGGGCUUGAGCACUGUAGAGGCAGAUGGAAUUCCGGGUGUAGCGGUGGAAUGCGUAGAGAUCCGGAAGAACACCGGUGGCGAAGGCGGUCUACUGGGCAGUAGCUGACACUGAGGCGCGACAGCGUGGGGAGCAAACAGG